CUGUGUUGAGUUAGUUUACAUAAACCUCAUAAUAUAAGAUCAUGUAUAUACAAAAGGGAUUAACAAUAUACUAUGGUCAAGCACAACUCUAUCCUCAAUAACCUCAUUACAUACAUACUGUAAUCUUUUACAUAUCAUCAUAAUACAAAUGUCAUGUCCACAAACUAACUAUUACAUACAUAUGACUUUUUCUCUUCUUGUCUUCUCUAUCUAUCCCGUACCUGCAAACCUGGGGGUUAGGGGAGAGGGGUGAGCUAGAUGCCCAGUGAGUAGAACUAUAAAAAGAAUAUUUAAAACAUGCUAUCAUGAAAUGCGCCACUGCACAAACAAAUCGCACCACGGAUGGACUGAUUCAAAAAUCCCUCAACUCCAUGCCCGGCCCUAUUAUGGGCACCACAGGACUUCGUAUUGCCCGGCCCUAUUAUGGGCACCACAGGACUUCGUACUCGGAGUUAUGGCCCGGCCCUAUUAUGGGCACCACAGGACUUCGUAUUGCCCGGCCCUAUUAUGGGCACCACAGGACUUCGUAUACAGAAGGCUAAUGAAUCAUCCUAAUGUCCAUCCACUAUCAUCUAUCACAACAAUACAAUGCGGCAUAGUCGUGAAUUCUAAUGCAAACAACCUAUAAUAUGAUCAUGAUGCAUGAAGCAUGAUAAAAGCAUUUCAUUUCUUAAUUUAAAAAGGUUAAGUUUAGUUCCACUCACCUCUGGCUGACUCUGACAAACUCUGAAGCAGCUGGCUCACUGCUGGGGUCCUUGGUUCCUCGGGUCCGAACC
RNAcentral lists this long non-coding RNA (776 nucleotides) under Manihot esculenta (cassava). Its description in RNAcentral is "long non-coding RNA (MESC_LNC011381)". The record is from RNAcentral. Lineage: Eukaryota; Viridiplantae; Streptophyta; Magnoliopsida; Malpighiales; Euphorbiaceae.